GACGAACGCUGGCGGCGUGCUUAACACAUGCAAGUCGAACGGAAAGGCCCUGCUUUUGUGGGGUGCUCGAGUGGCGAACGGGUGAGUAACACGUGAGUAACCUGCCCUUGACUUUGGGAUAACUUCAGGAAACUGGGGCUAAUACCGGAUAGGAGCUCCUGCUGCAUGGUGGGGGUUGGAAAGUUUCGGCGGUUGGGGAUGGACUCGCGGCUUAUCAGCUUGUUGGUGGGGUAGUGGCCUACCAAGUCUUUGACGGGUAGCCGGCCUGAGAGGGUGACCGGCCACAUUGGGACUGAGAUACGGCCCAGACUCCUACGGGAGGCAGCAGUGGGGAAUAUUGCACAAUGGGCGGAAGCCUGAUGCAGCAACGCCGCGUGCGGGAUGACGGCCUUCGGGUUGUAAACCGCUUUCGCCUGUGACGAAGCGUGAGUGACGGUAAUGGGUAAAGAAGCACCGGCUAACUACGUG
Molecule: ribosomal RNA, 468 nt
Filed under: uncultured bacterium
Lineage: Bacteria
Description: partial 16S ribosomal RNA
Rfam family: Bacterial small subunit ribosomal RNA
Source: RNAcentral